UACAGAGGUCUCGAGCGUUAGGCGGAAUCACUGGGCUUAAAGCGUUUGUAGGUGGCUCGCUAAGUCAGACGUGAAAUCCCUCAGCUUAACUGGGGAACUGCGUCUGAAACUGAUGAGCUUGAGUGCAGGAGAGGAACGCGGAAUUCCAGGUGUAGCGGUGAAAUGCGUAGAUAUCUGGAGGAACACCGGUGGCGAAGGCGGCGUUCUGGACUGCAACUGACACUGUAAAACGAAAGCCAGGGGAGCAAACGGG
RNAcentral lists this ribosomal RNA (253 nucleotides) under uncultured bacterium. RNAcentral describes it as "partial 16S ribosomal RNA". It matches the Rfam family "Bacterial small subunit ribosomal RNA", at positions 524 to 776 of the family's 1533-position model. The record is from RNAcentral.